GCACUGCCGUGUAGAUGGGAGGGCGCUGAGGAACAUUGUCAUUAAGAAAGCUGUACAUUAGAUAUUAAAUUAUAAUAGUCUUACUAUGAUGUAAAAUUUACGACAAGGGAAAACAUAAGGCGUCCCCUGUGGGUCAUCUGUUCUCACUGAAUACGUUAUACACAAGGUUUACUUAAAUUGUAUUUACGAAAGAUCCUGUAGAUAUUCAUUUUCGCUUUGAGUCACAGCAGAGGUCCUCAACAUUGGGUCACAGAAGAGGC
Non-coding RNA from Biomphalaria pfeifferi, 260 nucleotides. The record is from the annotation of a GenBank genome assembly. Lineage: Eukaryota; Metazoa; Mollusca; Gastropoda; Planorbidae.